GAUGAACGCUGGCUACAGGCUUAACACAUGCAAGUCGAGGGGAAACGACGGGGAAGCUUGCUUCCCCGGGCGUCGACCGGCGCACGGGUGAGUAACGCGUAUCCAACCUGCCUCUGACUGAGGGAUAACCCGUCGAAAGUCGGCCUAAUACCUCAUGGCAUCGUCUGCGGGCAUCCAACGACGAUUAAAGAUUUCAUCGGUCAGAGAUGGGGAUGCGUCUGAUUAGCUUGUUGGCGGGGUAACGGCCCACCAAGGCGACGAUCAGUAGGGGUUCUGAGAGGAAGGUCCCCCACAUUGGAGCUGCGACACGGUCCAAACUCCUACGGGAGGCAGCAGUGAGGAAUAUUGGUCAAUGGGGGAGAGCCUGAACCAGCCGAGUAGCGUGCAGGAUGACGGCCCUAUGGGUUGUAAACUGCUUUUAUGCGGGGAUAAAGUGAGGGACGUGUCCUUCAUUGCAGGUACCGCAUGAAUAAGGACCGGCUAAUUCCGUG
RNAcentral lists this ribosomal RNA (491 nucleotides) under uncultured bacterium. RNAcentral's name for it is "partial 16S ribosomal RNA". It matches the Rfam family "Bacterial small subunit ribosomal RNA", at positions 28 to 507 of the family's 1533-position model. The record is from RNAcentral.